This 92-nucleotide transfer RNA is filed under the name Felis catus (domestic cat). It matches the Rfam family "tRNA". Rfam says of the family: Transfer RNA (tRNA) molecules are approximately 80 nucleotides in length. Their secondary structure includes four short double-helical elements and three loops (D, anti-codon, and T loops). Further hydrogen bonds mediate the characteristic L-shaped molecular structure. tRNAs have two regions of fundamental functional importance: the anti-codon, which is responsible for specific mRNA codon recognition, and the 3' end, to which the tRNAs corresponding amino acid is attached (by aminoacyl-tRNA synthetases). tRNAs cope with the degeneracy of the genetic code in two manners: having more than one tRNA (with a specific anti-codon) for a particular amino acid; and 'wobble' base-pairing, i.e. permitting non-standard base-pairing at the 3rd anti-codon position. Lineage: Eukaryota; Metazoa; Chordata; Mammalia; Carnivora; Felidae. The record is from Rfam by way of RNAcentral.
GCCUGGGUGGCUCAGUGGGUUAAGCGUCUGACUCUUGAUUACGGCUCAGGUCAUGAUCUCACAGUUUGUGGGUUCGAGCCCCACACCUGGCU